GUAACAGGAAGCAGCUUGCUGCUUUGCUGACGAGUGGCGGACGGGUGAGUAAUGUCUGGGAAACUGCCUGAUGGAGGGGGAUAACUACUGGAAACGGUGGCUAAUACCGCAUAACGUCGCAAGACCAAAGAGGGGGACCUUCGGGCCUCUUGCCAUCAGAUGUGCCCAGAUGGGAUUAGCUUGUUGGUGAGGUAACGGCUCACCAAGGCGACGAUCCCUAGCUGGUCUGAGAGGAUGACCAGCCACACUGGAACUGAGACACGGUCCAGACUCCUACGGGAGGCAGCAGUGGGGAAUAUUGCACAAUGGGCGCAAGCCUGAUGCAGCCAUGCCGCGUGUAUGAAGAAGGCCUUCGGGUUGUAAAGUACUUUCAGCGGGGAGGAAGGUGUUGUGGUUAAUAACCGCAGCAAUUGACGUUACCCGCAGAAGAAGCACCGGCUAACUCCGUGCCAGCAGCCGCGGUAAUACGGAGGGUGCAAGCGUUAAUCGGAAUUACUGGGCGUAAAGCGCACGCAGGCGGUCUGUCAAGUCGGAUGUGAAAUCCCCGGGCUCAACCUGGGAACUGCAUUCGAAACUGGCAGGCUUGAGUCUUGUAGAGGGGGGUAGAAUUCCAGGUGUAGCGGUGAAAUGCGUAGAGAUCUGGAGGAAUACCGGUGGCGAAGGCGGCCCCCUGGACAAAGACUGACGCUCAGGUGCGAAAGCGUGGGGAGCAAACAGGAUUAGAUACCCUGGUAGUCCACGCCGUAAACGAUGUCUACUUGGAGGUUGUGCCCUUGAGGCGUGGCUUCCGGAGCUAACGCGUUAAGUAGACCGCCUGGGGAGUACGGCCGCAAGGUUAAAACUCAAAUGAAUUGACGGGGGCCCGCACAAGCGGUGGAGCAUGUGGUUUAAUUCGAUGCAACGCGAAGAACCUUACCUGGUCUUGACAUCCACGGAAGUUUUCAGAGAUGAGAAUGUGCCUUCGGGAACCGUGAGACAGGUGCUGCAUGGCUGUCGUCAGCUCGUGUUGUGAAAUGUUGGGUUAAGUCCCGCAACGAGCGCAACCCUUAUCCUUUGUUGCCAGCGGUUAGGCCGGGAACUCAAAGGAGACUGCCAGUGAUAAACUGGAGGAAGGUGGGGAUGACGUCAAGUCAUCAUGGCCCUUACGACCAGGGCUACACACGUGCUACAAUGGCGCAUACAAAGAGAAGCGACCUCGCGAGAGCAAGCGGACCUCAUAAAGUGCGUCGUAGUCCGGAUUGGAGUCUGCAACUCGACUCCAUGAAGUCGGAAUCGCUAGUAAUCGUGGAUCAGAAUGCCACGGUGAAUACGUUCCCGGGCCUUGUACACACCGCCCGUCACACCAUGGGAGUGGGUUGCAAAAGAAGUAGGUAGCUUAACCUUCGGGAGGGCGCUUACCACUUUGUGAUUCAUGACUGGGGUGAAGUCGUAACAAGGUAACCGUAGGGGAACCUGCGGUUGGA
This 1463-nucleotide ribosomal RNA is filed under the name Salmonella enterica subsp. enterica serovar Liverpool. RNAcentral's name for it is "bacterial SSU rRNA". It matches the Rfam family "Bacterial small subunit ribosomal RNA". Lineage: Bacteria; Pseudomonadati; Pseudomonadota; Gammaproteobacteria; Enterobacterales; Enterobacteriaceae. The record is from RNAcentral.